GAACAAAAAAGUAUAAUGAUAGCGUGUUGGACUUCGGAUCCAAAGGUUGCGGGUUCGAGUCCCGUCUUGGUCG
Molecule: non-coding RNA, 73 nt
Organism: Nowakowskiella sp. JEL0407
Lineage: Eukaryota; Fungi; Chytridiomycota; Chytridiomycetes; Cladochytriales; Nowakowskiellaceae
Source: the annotation of a GenBank genome assembly